RNAcentral lists this non-coding RNA (373 nucleotides) under uncultured fungus. Lineage: Eukaryota; Fungi. RNAcentral also lists the same sequence under 1 other name. The record is from RNAcentral.
AACGCACCUUGCGCUCUAUGGCAAUCCGUAGAGCAUGCCUGUUUGAGUGCCAUGAAAUCUCCCACCCCAAGCGGUUUUUGAAUGAAACGGCUUGGCGGAUGGGGUCUGGAUGGGUGCCUCUGCCUGUGCUUACCUUUUAGCCCACAGGCUCGCCCGAAAUGCAUGAGCGCCUUGGGACACUUUGCAUCCGCCUCUCUUGUGGGGAGGAGGCGGCCAAGCAGUGUUUUUCUCCAGGCAUGGCAUGAUACGUCAUUUGCUAUGUCGCCCAAUGGAGGAAUGUUUGGUUGUGUCUGCGUGUGCUUCGAACUUGCCUCUGUGCAAAUCCCCUUUCACUUCUGGUCUCAAAUCAGGUAGGAUCACCCGCUGAACUUAA